AUGAACGACUAGCGGCAGGCUUAAUUACAUGCAAGUUGAGGGGCGAGCAUGAUAUACGCGAGUAUAUUGAUGGCGACCGGCGGACGGGUGAGUAAUAGGUAGGAGACCUACCUCAUACAGGGGGAGUAGCAUAGAGAAAUCUGUGGUAAUACCCCAUGAGGUUAUAUGAAUAGAGGCAUAUAAUCAAAGCAUAAGCGAUUAUGCGGUAUGAGAGGGGCCGUACUGACCAUUAGCUAGUUGGUGAGGUAAGGGCGUCACCAAGGCGAAGAUGGUUAGGGGUUUUGGUAGAGAGAGACCCCCACCAUUGGAACUGAGAGACGGUCCAGACUCCCUACGGGAGGCAGCAGUAGGGAAUAUUGGGCAAUGGGCGAAAGCCUGACCCAGCCAUGCCGCGUGAAGGAAGACGGCCUUAUGGGUUGUAAACUUCUUUACUACGCGAAUAGAGGUUAGUACGAGAUACUAAUAGGAAGGUAGUGUAGUAAAAAGCACCGGCUAACUCCGUG
Molecule: ribosomal RNA, 503 nt
Filed under: uncultured bacterium
Lineage: Bacteria
Description: bacterial SSU rRNA
Rfam family: Bacterial small subunit ribosomal RNA
Source: RNAcentral